GGACACGUGGCCGAGUGGUUGAAGGCGCGCCCCUGCUAAGGGUGUAAACGGGCAACCGUUUCGAGGGUUCGAAUCCCUUCGUGUCCGCCA
Molecule: transfer RNA, 90 nt
Filed under: Alphaproteobacteria bacterium
Lineage: Bacteria; Pseudomonadati; Pseudomonadota; Alphaproteobacteria
Description: tRNA-Ser
Rfam family: tRNA
About the family: Transfer RNA (tRNA) molecules are approximately 80 nucleotides in length. Their secondary structure includes four short double-helical elements and three loops (D, anti-codon, and T loops).
Source: RNAcentral